UGGGGAAUCUUGCGCAAUGGGCGGAAGCCUGACGCAGCAACGCCGCGUGAGGGAUGACGGCCUUCGGGUUGUAAACCUCUUUCGCGAUCGACGAAGCUCCAUCUUCUGGGUGGGGUGACGGUAGGUCGAGAAGAAGCACUGGCCAACUACGUG
Molecule: ribosomal RNA, 153 nt
Filed under: uncultured bacterium
Lineage: Bacteria
Description: partial 16S ribosomal RNA
Rfam family: Bacterial small subunit ribosomal RNA
Source: RNAcentral